Molecule: long non-coding RNA, 4074 nt
Filed under: Salmo salar (Atlantic salmon)
Lineage: Eukaryota; Metazoa; Chordata; Actinopteri; Salmoniformes; Salmonidae
Description: lncRNA (ENSSSAG00000093911.1)
Source: RNAcentral
UGUUCUUAUUUGAACUUUUUCAGAGAGAAUUCAAGAGAUUAGCAUGAGUACAUCAGAGAUGCCCUGACAGUUGACAGAGUGUUUUUGCUGUGGUUGUGUGUUUGGUAUUCAAAUAGAUCCCUUUUUGAUGAGUAAGAGAGAGCCCCACCCCUUUAAGAACAGGGCUAAACUCCUAUGUGCAUAUACUUAGUUGAGCAGGUUGCAAAGCAGCAAGUCGAUCUCCAACUUGCUCCCACUAAUAGCUGGAAUACUACAGACAAAUUGUAAACACACUACUUUCACAGCAGGGGUGUGCUAUUGCUGCUUUUACUUGCCAUAGGAGUUGGCACAAGUCACACACACACACACAGACACACACACACACAUAUACACCCACGCACGCACGCACACCCACGCACGCACACACACAGACAAACAGUUUCUUCUGCAGGUUUGAACUGCGAUCAAGAUGGGCAAUGAGCAUUCCAAAAACAAGGCUGAGCAGGCUCCAGAAAAGCCCCUGCAUGGAGGUUUGAAUGGCCAUGCUGUAAGCAUCUCAUCCAAUGGCCUGGAGAAUGUUACCAGUGAAGCAGCUGUGGAGCAGAACAGUAUGCCUACCUCACUGCCUCCCUCUGAAGAGUCAGGUAUAGUGGAGGCAGAUGGCAGUGGUCUUGGGCCUGUGGUGGUGGAACAGAAGUCUGCCGUCAAGAAGGUUCCAGAAGUGGAACCAGAGACACAGAAUGCUAAGACUCAAAACACAGCGGAACCGGAACUGGAACCAGCCACCCAAGAGAAGGAGGAGCCCAAGAACAGUACACAAGAAAAAGUGAACAUCUUUGAAAAUCUGUUCAAGAAGAAAGCUAAGCCUCAACCCACCCCCAACCCGGAUCCAGCCCUGGAAAAGGAGGAGCCCAUAAGGGAGAAGAUUGUGGAGGAGAUUGAAAGUUCUGCGGAAGAUCAGAAAGUCCCUGUGGCUGUGACCGAUGGGAUCCAAGCUACGCCAUUAAAAUCACCACUGAAACCACUGUAGAGCAGCCAGAAACCACUGAAGCUCACGCAGAAACCACUGAAGAGCAACCUACAGACAAGAGUGUCAGCCCACCUGAAGAAGAGCCUAUGGAGGAUAGUGUCAGCCCACCUGAAAAGGAGACAACAGGACUGGCCAUUGGUGAAGAAGUCACAGAGGAUAAAACUUUAGAGGAGAUGUUACGAUCGUUGUUGGAAGGAUUGGACCAAGGUGCAGUGUGGAGCCACUUGCUGAGGUAAAGGAGGAUACAGAGACUUCAAAGGAGCGUCCCAACCCUAGUCCAGAGGCAGAGGAGGUCAAAAGCCCCAAAAUUGCAGAGGAAAGCAGUCACAUUCAGGAAAACCAAGAGGGAGAGAGUCAAACAGAAGAUAAUCCAGUUAUGAACUUCUUCAAAACACUAGUGACUCCCAUAAAAAAAAACAAGCAAGAAACAGCCACCCCUGAUGUUGCAAAAGACCAGAAAGAGGCCCAACCAACAACAACUACUGCUGCACAACUAGUGGAUGCAACAGCCAAAGGAGGAAUGUUAAUCCCACCAGCUGCAGCCCCAGCCCCAGCCCCGGCCCCAGCCCCGGCCGCAGCCCCGGCCGCAGCCCCUGCCCCACCCGCAGCCGCAGCCCCAGCCCCAGCCCCACCUAAGAUGGAGGUUAAAGCAGAACUAGCUGCCCAACCUGUGACCAACGCACCAAAAGAAGAACCAAAGGGUGCUGCCAAAGAAGCAGAGGCCGCCAAGCCGAAAUCUGACCGCCCGUUCAGCAGACUUUUCAGCAGAAAGGCACUGAUAGGCCUCAAGUCUAAAAUCAAGGUUAAGUCAACAAGUGGAGCCAGAGCCCCUGCCAAGCCUGCUGCAGCGACUGUGGAACCAGUGGAGCCACAGCCGGUUGUGGAAGUACAGAAUGUAGACUUCUCAAAGACGGCCACUCUGGAGGCCUCUGCCACUCUAGAACCACCACCACCUGCACCAGAGGACGAGAAGACACCUGCUGCCUCCAAAGCCUCUCCUUUCACUUCCUUUUCUCUUUUCAAGACCAUGGCAGCUGUGCCGAAAAAGGAAGUCCCUGCCCCAGCUGCAGAAGCGGUAGCUGGCCCAAGUGUAGCCAAGGAUGAACCAAAGGCCCCAGAGGACCCUGCUGUGGACAGCAAGCCCGUGUCAGGGCCCUCCGAGGUUAUGGAGAAUUCCCCCGUCCUCCCUAAGAGACUGGAGAAGAGGAACUCCAUCCACUUGUUCUUCAAAAACCUGGGCAAACGCCAGUCAGAUGCAGGAGUACAAACAGAACCAGAGAAGACCAAAUAAAACGGAAACACCCUUUCAAACUUCACAUGCCAUAUCUGGAAAUGAACUUUUCAUUUGUUAGAUACAUUAUGUUUCUGAUCACACUAUUGAAGGGAUGAUGGUAAGAGCAAGUGGUUUGAGGGAGAGGGGUGGACUGUGGACUGGUCUGUUCUAGUCUAAUCUAAUCUGUGUGGAUGAUUUCAGAGAAUUGUUCUUUGUGGAGGAGGUAAAAUAUAUUUUCUGGUUUAAAGGCUUGAUAGGUAGAGAAAAGUGGUUUUGUUACAUGUACUGAGAGCAAAAUCCAUUUCUAUACAGUAUUUACCCUUCUUUUAACAUGUCACUUAUUCCACGGAGGGCUGAGUGUCUGCGGGUUUUUGCUCCUCCCUUGAUUGAUUAAUUAAGGUCACUAAUUAGUAAAGAACUCCCCUCACCUGGUUGUCUAAGUCUAAAAACAAAACACCCACAGACACUAAGCCCUUCAUGGAAUGUGUUUGACACCACUGCUUUAACAUAUUAAUAUGUGUAAGGAUCUAAUGCAAAUAUUACGUUUAGCAUAUUUUUUUCCCCUCUUCAUAUACACAUUUUACUAGUCUGAAAAGAACUUGUGGAGUGCAUACAAUGGUUUCAGAUACGUUCAUAGGACGUCUUGGAGAAGAGAUGCAUAAAGCUUAGCUUGAGAUAGAAAUUGAAUAUACUCAAAAUUUAAUGGAGGAGUUGGCGAAAUGGUUGAUAUUCCUGCCAAGAUGUUUUUAUUUAGGCUAGACACAUGCAAUUUACAAUGUAAGCUUUAAACUUUGCAGGAACUGUACACGGAUGCAAAUAUAUGCCAAACACUAAAUUACAAUUUAUGAUUAUAAUCAUACACAGGGGGCGCUCCCAAUCAUUACUUUUUUGGGGAACUACACAGAUCUGGUUGUCUAUAUAGCUAACUGCACAGUCAUGCAUCAUAUUUGAUUAAUGUUUCACUGAAGUAUAAAGGUUUGUUCUAAUUUGGGUGCACUGCUUUACGUGUGUGCCUGUUUGAAUGCAGAUGUUAUAAUCUUGGGGAUCUUGUCUGUUAAUUUCUGCAUCUAUAAUUUGAUAAACUGCAUCUGGAAGUAGAAUGUUUAUUGUGACAGCAAAUUCCAAAUCAUGAAAACCUGCAAUGGGGUAUUGGGGGGGGGGGGGAGUUCUACUGAGCUAACAUAUGGAAUUUUUUUAAGAUCAUACCAUGGAUCCUUUAGCUAUUUAAUUUUUCAUUUAGGUAAAAUAUUGAAUUUGGCUUUUAAUGCUAUAGCCUAUAGAAAUGCAAUGAAUAACACAUUCAUAAAUGGCAAAACGGAGAGUACAAAAAGAAAUAAUAUAUAACGUUUUUGAAGUGUCUGUCCUACAUCUAGGAGAUGUAAUAAUGUUCAGGAUUUACACAUAUUUAACCCAUUUUUUGGGGGUGUCACAAAACUACUUCUAUAUAUUUUUUAUUAUGUUAAUUAAAUUGACGCACGGGUGCGUUGAUGGACUUUAGGGGGUAUUUAAAGCUAUUUUCCUGUAACUGUUUAAAGAGAAUAAAUGUGUACAAUUAUUUGUUUUCUUGUUUUCUAUCUCACAAUUUAGGCCAAAAGUUAUCAGUAUAGGGAAAUAUGAAAACAUAUUUAGAGUGAAAUUAAAUGUCCCUGUAAUAUAGUGAUUUAAUGUUAUCAAACAGUACUAUCAAGUGCUGCAAUAACUGAAAAAGACAUGACCCAACAAGUUUAUCAACACAUCUUGUAUUCCCAAAGUAGGGAGCCAAGCUGUUUUCAGCUAUGUUAGAAGUAUGGAG